This is a non-coding RNA of Myotis brandtii (Brandt's bat), 74 nucleotides long. The record is from Rfam. NCBI's taxonomy places the organism in Eukaryota, Metazoa, Chordata, Mammalia, Chiroptera, Vespertilionidae.
GCUGAUGUGGCUCAGUAGUUAGAGUAUUGAACUGAAUACUGAAGGGUUAUAGGUUCAAUUCCUGGUCAAAGGCA